GACGAACGCUGGCGGCGUGCUUAACACAUGCAAGUCGAACGGGUCUGCCCUGUUUUUUGCGGGGUGGGUCAGUGGCGAACGGGUGAGUAACACGUGAGUAACCUGCCCCUCACUUCUGGAUAACCGCUUGAAAGGGUGGCUAAUACGGGGUGUUCUGGCUGUGCCGCAUGGUGUGGCUGGGAAAGAUUCACUUUUGUGGUGUUUUGGUGGGGGAUGGGCUCGCGGCCUAUCAGCUUGUUGGUGGGGUGAUGGCCUGCCAAGGCUUUGACGGGUAGCCGGCCUGAGAGGGUGGGCGGUCACACUGGGACUGAGAUACGGACCAGACUCCUGCGGGAGGCAGCAGUGGGGGGUAUUGCACAAUGGGCGGAAGCCUGAUGCAGCGACGUCGCGUGAGGGAUGGAGGCCUUCGGGUUGUGAACCUCUUUCGCCGGUGAAGAAGGUCCUGCUCUUUGUGGUGGGGUUGACGGUAGCCGGGUUAUGAAGCGCCGGCUAACUACGUG
RNAcentral lists this ribosomal RNA (500 nucleotides) under uncultured bacterium. RNAcentral describes it as "partial 16S ribosomal RNA". It matches the Rfam family "Bacterial small subunit ribosomal RNA", at positions 28 to 507 of the family's 1533-position model. The record is from RNAcentral.